This 880-nucleotide long non-coding RNA is filed under the name Macaca fascicularis (crab-eating macaque). RNAcentral's name for it is "lncRNA (ENSMFAG00000049644.1)". Lineage: Eukaryota; Metazoa; Chordata; Mammalia; Primates; Cercopithecidae. The record is from RNAcentral.
CAUCCAGGAGCGUGUGAUCGUCAGGGUCCUGCUGGUAAGAAAAGGGCAUGUGGGUAGACAUCUGGAGUGCCUGUCAUGGUCCAAUUAACUGGCUAAAGGGAUUUGUGGGUAUGCAGCUGUUUUCAAUCAAAAGUACGUAAUUCACAUCUUCCCAAACACAGAUUCCUGCUUCUGAGUAAUGAAGGCGACCAAACCACGUGACCCUGCCUGCAAAGAUCCCACCUGGACUCCCGGUUCCUCCAAGGAGCCAUCGUGUGGUUCAAAUCCAUCAGAAAUUCUCCAAAUCUCCACCCUCCUCAGGGUGCAGAGUUGGCUGCUUUUCUGUGUCCCCUGCUGAUCACCGCAACCACUGGGUGCCUUGGCCUGCGAAGCCUCAGCUGUCCUCCGUCUGCAGACGAGCCGAGGAGCAGUUGCCUCUGGGGUGCCACAGUUGCCCAGAAUCCCUGGCAGCCACCUGUUCAAAGAAUCUUGAAGCAAUCAGAUGGUUGAUGCAGAAGAAGGACAAGUGGAUACCUCUGAGCAAUCUGGGGGAAGAGAAUCAUGGUUUCCAUUAAACCCAGCCUGGGGUUUGAAAACUCUGGGCAAGGGAAGGUGAUGAAGAGGCUGCUGGUUUACAGACUGUACAUUGAGAAGCAAGGUCUUAAGAUAUACUGACCUUGAGCUUUCCCAACAAUCCUUGAAAAGAGAGGGUUCUGCGAAGGGAAGCGACCUGUCAGAUAAGGGACCUCUUCAGUUACCCUACAUUGUCAAGUGAGUGAUGUCCUUAGGUAAGUACCCUCCCUAGGGUCACACGAGUAGGUACAUGGUAGAGCCAGGAUUUGAACACCCAUAUCCCCCAUUCCAAAACUCCCAUUAUUCUCAAAUCUGCUAUAACUGCAAC